GCUGGGCACAGUGGCACAUGCCUGUAAUCCCAGCAGCUCGGGAGGCUGAGACAGGAGGAUUGCAAUUCAAAGCCAGCCUCAGCAAUGGUGAGACGCUAAACAACUCACUCAGUGAGACCCUGUCUCUA
This 128-nucleotide small RNA is filed under the name Marmota monax (woodchuck). Lineage: Eukaryota; Metazoa; Chordata; Mammalia; Rodentia; Sciuridae. The record is from RNAcentral.